RNAcentral lists this ribosomal RNA (567 nucleotides) under uncultured fungus. Its description in RNAcentral is "eukaryotic LSU rRNA". The stretch from base 196 to 349 matches the Rfam family "5.8S ribosomal RNA". The record is from RNAcentral. Lineage: Eukaryota; Fungi.
UCCGUAGGUGAACCUGCGGAGGGAUCAUUACACAAUAUGAAAGCGGGCUGGCAUCCUUCGGGGUUACAGCCUUGCUGAAUUAUUCACCCGUGUCUUUUGCGUACUUCUUGUUUCCUUGGUGGGUUCGCCCACCAUAGGACAAACCAUAAACCUUUUGUAAUUGCAAUCAGCGUCAGUAAAAAAAUUAAUAAUUACAACUUUUAACAACGGAUCUCUUGGUUCUGGCAUCGAUGAAGAACGCAGCGAAAUGCGAUAAGUAAUGUGAAUUGCAGAAUUCAGUGAAUCAUCGAAUCUUUGAACGCACAUUGCGCCCGCUAGCAUUCUGGCGGGCAUGCUUGUUCGAGCGUCCUCAAAAACCCUCAAGCCCGGAAGACUUGUCUUCGGCGGCCUGGUGUUGGGAUGCCGCGGCUGCCGCGGCUCCCUAAAAUCAGUGGCGGACCUCCCGGUGGCCCUGGCGUAGUAAUUUAUCCUCGCCUUCGGCUUCCGGGAACGCCCUGCCCCGAGCAAACCAUCUCAACCAUUUGGACCUCGAAUCAAGUAGGAAUACCGCUGAACUUAAGCAUAUCA